This 3515-nucleotide ribosomal RNA is filed under the name Drosophila erecta. RNAcentral's name for it is "eukaryotic LSU rRNA". It matches the Rfam family "Eukaryotic large subunit ribosomal RNA", at positions 397 to 3386 of the family's 3401-position model. The record is from RNAcentral. Lineage: Eukaryota; Metazoa; Arthropoda; Insecta; Diptera; Drosophilidae.
ACGUGAAACUGCUUAGAGGUUAAGCCCGAUGAACCUGAAAUCCGUUAUGGAAAAUUCAUCAUUAAAAUUGUAAUAUUUAAAUAUAUUAUGAGGAUAGUGUGCAUUUUUUCCAUAUAAGGGACAUUGUAAUCUAUUAGCAUAUACCAAAUUAUCAUAAAAUAUAACUUAUAGUUUAUUCCAAUUAAAUUGCUUGCAUUUUAACACAGAAUAAAUGUUAUUAAUUUGAUAAAGUGUGAUGAUAGAUAAUAUGAUUACAGUGCGUUAAUUUUUCGGAAUUAUAUAAUGGCAUAAUUAUCAUUGAUUUUUGUGUUUAUUAUAUGCACUUGUAUGAUUAACAAUGCGAAGAUUCAGGAUACCUUCGGGACCCGUCUUGAAACACGGACCAAGGAGUCUAACAUAUGUGCAAGUUAUUGGGAUAUAAACCUAAUAGCGUAAUUAACUUGACUAAUAAUGGGAUUAGUUUUUUAACUAUUUAUAGCUAAUUAACACAAUCCCGGGGCGUUCUAUAUAGUUAUGUAUAAUGUAUAUUUAUUUAUGCCUCUAACUGGAACGUACCUUGAGCAUAUAUGCUGUGACCCGAAAGAUGGUGAACUAUACUUGAUCAGGUUGAAGUCAGGGGAAACCCUGAUGGAAGACCGAAACAGUUCUGACGUGCAAAUCGAUUGUCAGAAUUGAGUAUAGGGGCGAAAGACCAAUCGAACCAUCUAGUAGCUGGUUCCUUCCGAAGUUUCCCUCAGGAUAGCUGGUGCAUUUUAAUAUUAUAUAAAAUAAUCUUAUCUGGUUAAAGCGAAUGAUUAGAGGCCUUAGGGUCGAAACGAUCUUAACCUAUUCUCAAACUUUAAAUGGGUAAGAACCUUAACUUUCUUGAUAUGAAGUUCAAGGUUAUGAUAUAAUGUGCCCAGUGGGCCACUUUUGGUAAGCAGAACUGGCGCUGUGGAUGAACCAACGUAAUGUUACGGUGCCCAAAUUAACAACUCAUGCAGAUACCAUGAAAGGCGUUGGUUGCUUAAAACAGCAGGACGGUGAUCAUGGAAGUCGAAAUCCGCUAAGGAGUGUGUAACAACUCACCUGCCGAAGCAACUAGCCCUUAAAAUGGAUGGCGCUUAAGUUGUAUACCUAUACAUUACGCUAAAGUAGAUGAUUUAUAUACUUGUGAUAUAAAUUUUGAAACUUUAGUGAGUAGGAAGGUACAAUGGUAUGCGUAGAAGUGUUGGCGUAAGCCUGCAUGGAGCUGCCAUUGGUACAGAUCUUGGUGGUAGUAGCAAAUAAUCGAAUGAGACCUUGGAGACUGAAGUGGAGAAGGGUUUCGUGUGAACAGUGGUUGAUCACGAGUUAGUCGGUCCUAAGUUCAAGGCGAAAGCCGAAAAUUUUCAAGUAAAAACAAAAAUGCCAAAUUAUAUAAACAAAGCGAAAAUAAUACACUUGAAUAAUUUUGAACGAAAGGGAAUACGGUUCCAAUUCCGUAACCUGUUGAGUAUCCGUUUGUUAUUAAAUAUGGGCCUCGUGCUCAUCCUGGCAACAGGAACGACCAUAAAGAAGCCGUCGAGAGAUAUCGGAAGAGUUUCUUUUCUGUUUUAUAGCCGUACUACCAUGGAAGUCUUUCGCAGAGAGAUAUGGUAGAUGGGCUAGAAGAGCAUGACAUAUACUGUUGUGUCGAUAUUUUCUCCUCGGACCUUGAAAAUUUAUGGUGGGGACACGCAAACUUCUCAACAGGCCGUACCAAUAUCCGCAGCUGGUCUCCAAGGUGAAGAGUCUCUAGUCGAUAGAAUAAUGUAGGUAAGGGAAGUCGGCAAAUUAGAUCCGUAACUUCGGGAUAAGGAUUGGCUCUGAAGAUUGAGAUAGUCGGGCUUGAUUGGGAAACAAUAACAUGGUUUAUGUGCUCGUUCUGGGUAAAUAGAGUUCUAGCAUUUAUGUUAGUUACUUGUUCCCCGGAUAGUUUAGUUACGUAGCCAAUUGUGGAACUUUCUUGCUAAAAUUUUUAAGAAUACUAUUUGGGUUAAACCAAUUAGUUCUUAUUAAUUAUAACGAUUAUCAAUUAACAAUCAAUUCAGAACUGGCACGGACUUGGGGAAUCCGACUGUCUAAUUAAAACAAAGCAUUGUGAUGGCCUAGCGGGUGUUGACACAAUGUGAUUUCUGCCCAGUGCUCUGAAUGUCAAAGUGAAGAAAUUCAAGUAAGCGCGGGUCAACGGCGGAGAGUAACUAUGACUCUCUUAAGGUAGCCAAAUGCCUCGUCAUCUAAUUAGUGACGCGCAUGAAUGGAUUAACGAGAUUCCUACUGUCCCUAUCUACUAUCUAGCGAAACCACAGCCAAGGGAACGGGCUUGGAAUAAUUAGCGGGGAAAGAAGACCCUUUUGAGCUUGACUCUAAUCUGGCAGUGUAAGGAGACAUAAGAGGUGUAGAAUAAGUGGGAGAUAUUAGACCUCGGUUUGGUAUCGUCAAUGAAAUACCACUACUCUUAUUGUUUCCUUACUUACUUGAUUAAAUGGAACGUGUAUCAUUUCCUAGCCAUUAUACGGAUAUAUUUAUUAUAUCUUAUGGUAUUGGGUUUUGAUGCAAGCUUCUUGAUCAAAGUAUCACGAGUUUGUUAUAUAAUCGCAAACAAAUUCUUUAAUAAAACGAUGCAUUUAUGUAUUUUGAUUUGAAAAUUUGGUAUAACUCCAUACUCAGGUAUGAUCCAAUUCAAGGACAUUGCCAGGUAGGGAGUUUGACUGGGGCGGUACAUCUCUCAAAUAAUAACGGAGGUGUCCCAAGGCCAGCUCAGUGCGGACAGAAACCACACAUAGAGCAAAAGGGCAAAUGCUGACUUGAUCUCGGUGUUCAGUACACACAGGGACAGCAAAAGCUCGGCCUAUCGAUCCUUUUGGUUUAAAGAGUUUUAACAAGAGGUGUCAGAAAAGUUACCAUAGGGAUAACUGGCUUGUGGCGGCCAAGCGUUCAUAGCGACGUCGCUUUUUGAUCCUUCGAUGUCGGCUCUUCCUAUCAUUGUGAAGCAAAAUUCACCAAGCGUUGGAUUGUUCACCCAUGCAAGGGAACGUGAGCUGGGUUUAGACCGUCGUGAGACAGGUUAGUUUUACCCUACUAAUGACAAAACGUUGUUGCGACAGCAUUCCUGCGUAGUACGAGAGGAACCGCAGGUACGGACCAAUGGCACAAUACUUGUUCGAGCGAACAGUGGUAUGACGCUACGUCCGUUGGAUUAUGCCUGAACGCCUCUAAGGUCGUAUCCGUGCUGGACUGCAAUGAUAAUAAGGGGCAAUUUGCAUUGUAUGGCUUCUAAACCAUUUAAAGUUUAUAAUUUACUUUAUAAACGACAAUGGAUGUGAUGCCAAUGUAAUUUGUAACAUAGUAAAUUGGGAGGAUCUUCGAUCACCUGAUGCCGCGCUAGUUACAUAUAAAAGCAUUAUUUAAUACAAUGACAAAGCCUAGAAUCAAUUGUAAACGACUUUUGUAACAGGCAAGGUGUGUAAGUGGUUGAGCAGCUGCCAUACUGCGAUCCACUGAAGCUAUCCUUU